GUUCUCGUAGUUGAAGUCAACGGCGGUUUUUCAGGCCGCAAGUCUUGGAGAAAGGCCAAGCGGGAAUUGCC
Molecule: transfer RNA, 71 nt
Filed under: Phoebastria immutabilis
Lineage: Eukaryota; Metazoa; Chordata; Aves; Procellariiformes; Diomedeidae
Also listed under: 2 other names
Description: tRNA-Glu
Source: RNAcentral